RNAcentral lists this ribosomal RNA (433 nucleotides) under uncultured bacterium. Its description in RNAcentral is "partial 16S ribosomal RNA". It matches the Rfam family "Bacterial small subunit ribosomal RNA", at positions 29 to 507 of the family's 1533-position model. The record is from RNAcentral.
AACGAACGCUGGCGGCAUGCCUAACACAUGCAAGUCGAACGAAAGCUUCGUCCUUAGUGGCGCACGGGUGCGUAACGGGUGGGAAACUGCGCUUUGGUUCGGCAUAACAGCUGGAAAUGGCUGCUAAUACCGGAUGCUGACGCAAGACCAAAGAGUUAUCGCCAGAGGAUGAGCCCGCGUUGGUUUGGGUAGUUGGAAGGGUACAGGCAUACCAAGACGACGAUCCAUAGCUGGUCUGUGAGGAGGAUCAGCCACACUGGGACUGAGACACGGCCCAGACUCGUGGGGGAGGCGGCAGUGAGGAAUAUAGGAGAGUAGGCGCAAGCCUGAGCCAGCGAGGCCGCGUGAGUGAUGAAGGCGUUAGGGUUGUAAAGCGCUUUUACCCGGGAAUAUAGUGACUGUACCGAGAGAAUAAGCCCCGGCUAACUCCGUG